CACGUAGGCGGAACAGAAAGUCAGAGGUGAAAUCCCAGGGCUCAACCUUGGAACUGCCUUUGAAACUCCUGUUCUUGAGGUCGAGAGAGGUGAGUGGAAUUCCGAGUGUAGAGGUGAAAUUCGUAGAUAUUCGGAGGAACACCAGUGACGAAGGCGGCUCACUGGCUCGAUACUGACGCUGAGGUGCGAAAGCGUGGGGAGCAAACA
RNAcentral lists this ribosomal RNA (207 nucleotides) under uncultured bacterium. RNAcentral's name for it is "partial 16S ribosomal RNA". It matches the Rfam family "Bacterial small subunit ribosomal RNA", at positions 568 to 774 of the family's 1533-position model. The record is from RNAcentral.